This is a long non-coding RNA of Beta vulgaris subsp. vulgaris (sugar beet), 824 nucleotides long. RefSeq lists it as uncharacterized. The record is from RefSeq and is a predicted model, not a curated record. The transcript is spliced from 4 exons. NCBI's taxonomy places the organism in Eukaryota, Viridiplantae, Streptophyta, Magnoliopsida, Caryophyllales, Amaranthaceae.
UCAGAUUCGUAAAUGGUCUUCUUGGUUUGCUCAAGUGGAGCCUGGUGUUCUUAUUACUUCUGUUUCCAUGAUUCAUAGUGGUAAUGAUCUCAAGCGCAUUCGCUUUAGGUAUAAUUUCGAUUUUGAUUUUGGAUUUUUGUUGUUGUCUUUGGUUUUGAUCUGAUAUUGUUUUUUUACGGGUUAUGCUUUGUGGUUGUUGACAUUUUUUUUGUAUCUCUGGAAUUCUCUAAAUAUUUGUCUUUUCUAUUAAACUGUUCUGACAUUUUACAUUGGUGUGUUCAGGUGGAAUGAAGGUGAAAGCUGACAGGGAUGAAUCUUCCCCGUAUGCUGCUAUGCUUGCAGCUCAAGAUGUUUCUCAACGAUGCAAGGAACUUGGAAUUACUGCUCUCCACAUUAAGCUUCGUGCUACUUGAGGAAACAAAACCAAGACUCCUGGACCUGUUGCUCAGUCUGCUUUGAGAGCCCUUGCUCGUUCAGGCAUGAAAAUUUGCCGUAUUGAGGACGUGACUCCCAUCCCAACAGACAGUACGUACAUAAAGGGAGGAAGAAGGGGAAGGAGGCUGUGAAUUAUCUUGGUCAAAUACUGGUCAUAUUGUCUUAUUUCUAUGGCUUGAAUAGACUAGUCCGCUGUUAAAGCCUUUCCUUUUCAUUUUUGAAGUCGAACUUGUUGUAGUUUCGAAUUGCCCUUUCAUCAGACAAGUUUCUACUCUCAAGAUUGCAGUGUGGUUGCUAGAAUGCUAGUUCUUGUUUGCUUGCUUACAAGAUUUAUUUUGUAUGUUAGGUGGAAUCUAAAAGAUAACUAGAAAGACUCUAGUUGAAGUUCC